Molecule: ribosomal RNA, 253 nt
Filed under: uncultured bacterium
Lineage: Bacteria
Description: partial 16S ribosomal RNA
Rfam family: Bacterial small subunit ribosomal RNA
Source: RNAcentral
UACGUAGGGUGCGAGCGUUAAUCGGAAUUACUGGGCGUAAAGCGUGCGUAGACGGUUAUGUAAGUCGGAUGUGAAAGCCCCGGGCUUAACCUGGGAAUGGCAUUCGAGACUGCAUAGCUAGGAUGCGGAAGAGGGAAGUGGAAUUUCCGGUGUAGCGGUGAAAUGCGUAGAUAUCGGAAGGAACACCAGUGGCGAAAGCGACUUCCUGGUCCAGCAUCGACGUUCAGGCACGAAAGCGUGGGGAGCAAACAGG